Papaver somniferum (opium poppy) is the source of this 364-nucleotide long non-coding RNA. RefSeq lists it as uncharacterized. NCBI's taxonomy places the organism in Eukaryota, Viridiplantae, Streptophyta, Magnoliopsida, Ranunculales, Papaveraceae. The record is from RefSeq and is a predicted model, not a curated record. The transcript is spliced from 3 exons.
UUGCAAUAUUUACUUCUAGUUGUAUUCACUGGACUUAGGGAUUGUAUAUCAUUUCUUAGUUUUGAACUUAUGAUUGUUUUGGAUGUGUAUUGGAUUGGUGUAGCCGAAUUUUGUGGCUGAAGAGGAUGUGGAAACAGUUGAAACUGCUGGAACACAAACAGUUGAAUUCUGUGUAGACAUAUUUCUAAAAUUCAUGAAUCCAGGAGGACUUACAAGUUGAUUUAGGCAUACUUAGGGAUCUUCGAUCUAAACUGGAGGAAUUCUUCAAUGCACAAAUGGCUUACUUGUGCGGAUAGAAUAGAAAUCAUGAUGCUCGGUAAGCUUCACAGUUUCUUAAACAAAGAGAUUCCAGAAAACAUGAUUG